AUGACAAGCAUGGUUCGGGCUUUAAAUUGCGAAUUUAUCUGGCAUCGUCUGGGGCGACCCAACCACCCAACCAGUCCAACGUCUCUCGUCUGUUUGCUUCUGUGUCUGCUGUAGCGCCGUUGUGCUGCGAACGUUUGUGGUUUUGCGACGAGAGUGAAACUCCCUGCUUUGAUUUCAAGACAUCAUAGUGCGCAGCCCCUAGGGGUGCCAUCCCAAGCCAUGGCAGGCCCCAGCAGAGUACUCCUGAAGAACACCACCAAGCUCAGUCUCAACGAGCGGUUCACUGCCUACCGGCAGCAGGCAGAGGCCCUGGGGGGUCUGGGAGCCCUGGGGGCCAUCAGUGCCAUUGGCCCCUUGGGCCCCAUGGGACGCCUGGCCGCCCUGGGGGCCCUGGAGCAACAACAGCAGCAGCACCAGCAGCGGCAGCAGGCGGCUUCUCUGCGCAACCUGCGACUCGCCCAGCAAAUGGCCACCCGCCCUAGCGUGCUGGCUGCCCUGCGUCUCAAAAAGUCUUCACCUCCUGUAACUGCCCAAAAGAGGAGGAGCCUGAAGCAGCGCCUGGGUCCCACGGGGAGCAUAAAGUCUCGGCUUGGCUUGCGGCUGGGCCCCGGCCCGACCAGCUGGCCCCUCGUCAGGGCGCGGCUGGGCAUGAGGCCCAUGGGGAGGCUGCCCAACAGGGGUCGAGGGAUGCAGAGGGGCUACCAGAGACAGCCCAGGAGUAACGGCAAUUUUAUGGGACAGUUUAGGCGAGAAGGGGAAGGCCGGCGCCAGCGUCGACGCGGUGGGGGCCGUCGCGGUGGGGCACAGCCGGACCGUCAGCAGCUGGACUGGCAGCUGGAGGCGUACAUGGCGCGCACCCGAGGUCACCUGGAUGCGGAGCUGGAGGCCUACAUGGCCCAGGCAGAGGCCUAGGUCCCAGCAUGACCAGGGCCAGGUCUCGGGGAGAGCCCACGAAGGCGGGGCUCACGCGACACGAGAGCCCCAGCUCCCCAGCCCAGGCCAUGCGGUCCCGCACAACAAGCUCCUCCCAGACGGGCUGGAGGAGCUGCUGCAGCAGCUGGAAGUGGGAGACACUUGCAGACGGCGCUUCUGGACAUGUGACCUGAAGAAGCGCGGUCUUAGAGAAGCACGACCUUGGCCAUGCAGGAUGCGACCUUGGCCUCGUCACUGGAGAUGUGGUUCGAGGCAUAUGACUAGUUGCGUUACUGACGGCGCAUGACUCGAGUAUCGUGCCACGCGAUUCAAGUAGUGCGACUCCAAACACGAGACCUUGGACACGACCUGCAACACAUGGCUUUGGCCACUCGAGAUUUGAGGUGCAAGAUUCGAGGCGCCGACUUGAAGCGCGCGACUGGAAGCACGUGGCUUACGGUGUGCAACUCAGGACAUGCAACUCACUGCGUGUGUCCCCACUGCUGGCAGCAGCUUCUUGGCCUCGGACUGCAGUCCCUCGAGGAGAUUGCGCCAGCCCGUGCGCUGCUCUUCUGCAAGCGUGGCAGAGGGGAACCCCUUCUCAUCCCAACUGAUUCCCUGGAAAAGAACCGGGUUCAGUGUUGUCUCACAAAUAAAUUUUAUCACAUCCCUCUGGAAGACCCAGGGACAUCAUUAGGACUUUGUGCCUUCGGGAAAUUCGGCAGUUGUAGCCGUUUUCUUUUGUUCCUUUUUUUUUUUUUUUUGACACAGGGAACCACUUUUUUUGUGAGAUAGCUUUGUGAAAGUUAUUAUUAGGCAAUGUGUGUGGAGUAAGCUUGUUCAUUCACCGUCAUGUUUAUUUAAGCAUCAAAGACACUUUAUGGGACAUAACGAAUAUGUAGGAAUGUGGAAAUAGAUUGUGAGGUGCUGAUACACACGCUGUAGUAAAGGCACAAAAAUAAAUAUAAGACAAUAAAUCCUCCAUCUGUGCGAAAAUGA
This is an RNA transcript of Ixodes scapularis (black-legged tick), 1911 nucleotides long. It is a transcript of the gene named chromatin target of PRMT1 protein-like, with no coding region annotated. The transcript has 8 exons. The record is from RefSeq and is a predicted model, not a curated record. Lineage: Eukaryota; Metazoa; Arthropoda; Arachnida; Ixodida; Ixodidae.